UGCUUAUUGAAAACACACGAAGCUUGUAAAUAUAAAAUUAGAGGGUAGAAAAAUUUUAAAUAUAUUUACAUUUAAAGGUUAAUUGUGUUUCAUGCUCAAGUAUUGCUUUGGCCAAAAAUAAAUAUAUGUUUAAAGGUCUAUUUACACUUGCAAUUUUUGCUGCGAUUUUAGGUGCGAUUUUCGUCUUCUGAUGGAUGUGAACGAGUGGAUGAGUAUGAAUGUUCCGAGUAUAUGUACCUUCAUCUCAACAUUCAUAAUUCUUCCGCUGAUUCACAUCCAUCAA
Paramuricea clavata is the source of this 283-nucleotide non-coding RNA. Lineage: Eukaryota; Metazoa; Cnidaria; Anthozoa; Malacalcyonacea; Plexauridae. The record is from the annotation of a GenBank genome assembly.